GUCCUAGCUGUAAACGAUGAUGACUAGGUGUGGGAGGUAUCGACCCCUUCCGCGCCGACGCUAACGCAUUAAGUCAUCCGCCUGGGGAGUACGGCCGCAAGGUUAAAACUCAAAGGAAUUGACGGGGGCCCCGCACAAGCGGUGGAGCAUGUGGUUUAAUUCGACGCUACGCGAAGAACCUUACCUGGGCUCGAACGACUGGUGGUACCUUAUUUGAAAGGAUGAGGGACCCGCAAGGGAGCCAGCCGAGGUGCUGCAUGGUUGUCGU
This 268-nucleotide ribosomal RNA is filed under the name uncultured bacterium. RNAcentral's name for it is "partial 16S ribosomal RNA". It matches the Rfam family "Bacterial small subunit ribosomal RNA", at positions 793 to 1055 of the family's 1533-position model. The record is from RNAcentral.